UACGGAGGAUGCGAGCGUUAUCCGGAUUUAUUGGGUUUAAAGGGUGCGUGGGCGGGUUGUUAAGUCAGCGGUGAAAGUUUGCGGCUCAACCGUAAAAUUGCCGUUGAAACUGGCGGUCUUGAGUUCAGACGCGGUAGGCGGAAUGUAAUGUGUAGCGGUGAAAUGCAUAGAUAUGUUACAGAACUCCGAUUGCGAAGGCAGCUUACCAGACUGAGACUGACGCUGAGGCACGAAAGCGUGGGUAUCGAAC
Molecule: ribosomal RNA, 250 nt
Filed under: uncultured prokaryote
Description: partial 16S ribosomal RNA
Rfam family: Bacterial small subunit ribosomal RNA
Source: RNAcentral